GACGAACGCUAGCGGCAGGCUUAAUACAUGCAAGUCGAGGGGUAACAGGGGUAGCAAUACCUGCUGACGACCGGCAAACGGGUGCGGAACACGUACGCAACCUCCCCAAAUUGGUGAAUAGCCUUCCGAAAGGAAGAUUAAUACACCGUAACAUAAUGAAGUGGCAUCACUUUAUUAUUAUAGCUCAGGCGAUUUUGGAUGGGCGUGCGCCUGAUUAGGUAGUUGGCGGGGUAACGGCCCACCAAGCCUGCGAUCAGUAACUGGUGUGAGAGCACGACCAGUCACACGGGCACUGAGACACGGGCCCGACUCCUACGGGAGGCAGCAGUAAGGAAUAUUGGUCAAUGGACAAGUCUGAACCAGCCAUGCCGCGUG
RNAcentral lists this ribosomal RNA (375 nucleotides) under uncultured bacterium. RNAcentral's name for it is "bacterial SSU rRNA". It matches the Rfam family "Bacterial small subunit ribosomal RNA", at positions 28 to 403 of the family's 1533-position model. The record is from RNAcentral.